Molecule: ribosomal RNA, 607 nt
Filed under: Hormogaster sp. DFM-2016
Lineage: Eukaryota; Metazoa; Annelida; Clitellata; Crassiclitellata; Hormogastridae
Description: partial 16S ribosomal RNA
Rfam family: Bacterial large subunit ribosomal RNA (bases 1-521)
Source: RNAcentral
UCCUGCCCAGUGAUAAACUUCACCGGCCGCGGUAUCCUAACCGUGCAAAGGUAGCAUAAUCACUUGCCUAUUAAUUGUAGGGUAGAAUGAACGGAUAAACGAAAUAUAAGCUGUCUCUAUAUAUAAAAUAAAAAUUAAUCUCUAACUGAAGAGUGUUAGAUAAAAUCGAAGGACAAGAAGACCCUAUAGAGCUUUAUUUAAACAAGAAAUAAAUUCUUACUAAAAUUCGGUUGGGGCGACCAAGGAUAUCUUCAAUCAUCCUAUACCAGUAGAUCAAUAAAUCUCAUGAAAGACCCUUAAUAAAGAGCAGAAGAACAAGCUACCUUAGGGAUAACAGGCUAAUCCUUCUUAAGAGUCCUUAUCUAAAGUGGGGGUUGGCACCUCGAUGUUGGCUUAGGGAAACUAUGUAGCGCAAAAGUUACAUAAAGAUGGUUUGUUCAACCAAUAAAUCCCUACAUGAGCUGAGUUCAGACCGGCGUAAGCCAGGUUAGUUUCUAUCCACGAUAUUAACAUCUAUCUAUAGUACGAAAGGACCUAGAUAAGAAUAAUUAAUUAUAAAUAAAGAAUAAAUUUAAAAUAUAUUAAAUCUUACUUUAUAUAUACUAUA